RNAcentral lists this long non-coding RNA (1598 nucleotides) under Elaeis guineensis (African oil palm). RNAcentral describes it as "long non-coding RNA (EGUI_LNC082042)". Lineage: Eukaryota; Viridiplantae; Streptophyta; Magnoliopsida; Arecales; Arecaceae. The record is from RNAcentral.
CCAGAUGCAAAAUCAGCACUCCACCACUGAGACAACCAACAGCGAAAAUGCUAGCUCUAAUGUUUUUCAUAUAAGGAGAAAAACAAACACAAAAAUGAGCAUAACAUGAAAAAGUUACAAAUUAUCGGCCGGCUAAAAGCAAUUCCAACCCAAAACAGCGUUCAAAGCCUAACGAAAACUAAAGGUGCAUUUGAUUAUACUUUUAAUUUUAAUUUUUAUUUUAAAAAUAUUUUUUAUUUUUUAAUUUUGUUAUUAAGUAAAAAUAAAAAAAUAAAAAAUAUGUUUGAUAAUUACAUUGUUAUAAAGUAAAAAGCAAUAUUUAGAGAUGGCGGAAAAAAAGUUCAAAAAGAGAAGAAAAAGAGGGUCAAGAGCUCGACGAGGGAGAAAGAUUCGGGUUCUUUACUUUUUGGUUUGGCAUUUUAGACGUACGGGAGUAAGAAAAGCAGAAAAGUAAAUUUUGAAAAGUAAAAAUUUUUGUUUUGCAUAUAAAAUAAUUAUUUUGAUUAUUUUAAAUUUUAUUUUUAUUUUUUUGAUAUUAUCAAAUAUUAUUUUUUAAUUUUUAUUUUUUAAAAAUUAAAAAUAAAAAUAUAUUUUUUAAUAACUAACUAAACGUACCCUAAAUUAAUAUGAAGAAAAAAAAAUAAUAAUUACUUGUAAAACAGAAAGCAAACUAUUACAAUACUAAAAAAGAGAAAGAUCAUUGAGAUGAAUAGAUGAAGUAAACAAAUCCAACACAUCAACCAGCAUCCAAAUCACAGAUUAUGAGUUAGAAAAAGGAAUCAACAACAAACUACCUAUGACACAGACACAAUCCACCAGCAAAAAACACAAUCUUACAUAAAACACAAUAAAAACACAGAAACUCUUUUGCUUUUCACCGACAGCCACUAAACUCACUCUCGGAAACAUCCCAGGACCAAGAAACAGAAACCAAAAGGGACCCAAAAAUACUCCCAGCGAAUCACAAAACAGAGCCCAGAAGCAACAGGCUGAAGCAGAGGUGGCAGCCAGAGAAGGGUAGAAUGGUAAAUAAAGGAAGGAUUUUGGGGGAAGGGGAAGACCUCUUGGAGGGUACAUGUCCCCUUUCUUGAAGCCAUUCGCUCCUCCUACCUCCUUUCUUCCUCUCCUCCUCCUCCUCCUCCUCCCACCUUUGCUCUGUCUCCCUUCUUUUGAAAUGAACCAAAUAAAAACAAACACAUAAAGCCUUCAUUAGUACCCCUCAGUCUAUUUCUCCCGACCCUUUGUUCCAUCAGAUUUUGAGCAUGUGACAGACAGAUCUAGGCAUAAACAACAUGAAAUCCUCAUACAAGCGGACAAAUCGAAGGCUUACAUCCAAUCAAAAGUAAAAUUCAGGCAUGAAUCUAACAAAAAGCAAGAAAUUUAUGUGGAUCCAAGCACGGAGCCACGGAGAUCUACUGACAUGAUCAGGAUCAAUUAGGGUUAGGGUUAAAGAACUUAUCGGAGAUGAUCGGGAUGCCAGAGUCAAUCCGAAAGGUUAAAAUAGUGAUCAAAGCACCGGGGCUUAACAUAUUGUUCGGAUUGAAGUUACACGGGUCAUGAAGGGUGGGGAGGAAGGGUAAAGAAUGAAUCUCUGUUUG